AUGCCACACACCCAUUAUCUGACACUACUUGCGCUGCGGCACAUCAGCAAGUUUGCAAAUUCACACGAGUUAAUGACGAGAAAGGGCAUGUGUUCCUCUGAUAGAAGAGCUAAAAAAGGAUUCCGGAGAGGUACGGCAGAUGGACGGUUCCAAGAAGAUAAAGAGGUUCCUUAUGGGUGCAUUUUGCAUCAGAUUAUACGAAAAUGAUAGCUAAAAGGUAAGGCGGUAAUAUUGUGUCUGCGGUAGGGUAAUUCAUUCAGAGAGGAAAGUUAAUGACCAUCUACAGCACACGUGCUGAUAAAUUGAAUAUAAAUCCGGAAAUUGCUAUGAACUGAAUUUGUUCCGUGACAUAGAGCAUAACCAUGGAUCAGGACUCAUAGAUCAUCGACCGAAAAUUCUGCCUGAAGUUCAAAACAAUUCCAUGGAUGUUUUGGAGGUUUGAGGUGGUAGUAAGAGCUUUUAUCUUCAUCAGGACUGUAGUUAUUGCAGAAUCAAAUGAAGAUUCUUCAUCUUCCUGGAGUUUUGAUUACUCUCCCAGUCAUAGAUUUUCCACGGCUCCUUACAAGUGGAAAACUUCUUCAUUGCUUUGUUAUUAAAACACAGGAUUCGGCAUCACAGGAUGACAGCAAAUUCAUAUUGCCUACUCGUCCUCACACACAUUCACACAAAUAAUCCUCCUUGAUCUAACCACACUCUUACAUAAUUAAAAUUGGACAUGGGUAUUAAUAAAAUCACUAGAUCGCUUUGUAGACCCGAGAGUGUAAGAGGUACUUCUGAUGACAAGUAUUUUGAUCCGAAUUUCUUUUAAAAAAUUGUUUGAGAAUCCUCAGUUCCGGAGAUGUAUAUUUGAUGUUAUUUGCUGGGCCGGACAAUACUUUCCUUUGAAAACUUGAAAUGCACUUCAAACUUCAAUGAACGUAGAGAGAUUGAUUUUGAUUGUAUUUUUUUCUUUUUUGAUGACCGUAUGGGAUUAAAUGUUGAUUCAAUUCAAAAGAAUUGCAGUGAGGUUCGAAUAAGUAAAAAUUUGAAAGAGAAGUUUACAUUUAGUUAUUUGGUCCUUGAAUUUUGUGCGAGAGCAUCAUCACGGAAAUUUUAGAAUAAGUAUUCACUUUACAGAUAAAUCUGGUUACAGCAGACGAAAAAGAUGCAUUCAGAAUAUGAUGCCUCAGCUACUUUGACAAAAAAAAAAAUAAGGACUUCAGACGUUUUAUUACAGUUAUUCUUCAAAAAUUACAUUGAAAGUGUCAAAAGAAUUUAGAAUUCUACUGUGAUAUUAAACUAUUUUCUAAUUAAUAAUCUUGAAAAAAUUUAGACCGGAGAAAGAUAACUUAGCUUUGUAAGCACAAUAAAGAACUUAUGUCAGAAAUUAAAAUUACAAAAUCUCUGAGCAAAGCAAACUUGGUAUUCAGCCGCGAGACCUUGACACUCGUCCUUCAGUUUCAGACGGCACAUCUAAAAUGAUUGAGCAGGAAGAAAAGUGAAAUUGUGAAAUUCGAACAUGAAGUACCACGAAAAUCAGACACUCGCCCUCCAGUUUUAGACAGCAUGUCUGAAAUGAUUGAGAAUGGAGAAAAGUGGGAUUGUAAAAUUUCGAACAUGAGGUACCGCAAAAAUCAGACUGCGAAGAAGUGUUAAGCUAAGAUUAGGACCAACCUCUGAGUAUUUUGUACUUCUUCAUCACCCUUUUCUUCGACGCCAACAUUCUUCUUGACAUCCAUUUCACUUUUACUUGACUCCUUCUUCUCUCAUUCGAUUCUUCUUUGCUUGCUGACACACCUCAGGACUUUCUUCAUCUGGGACAUGGAAGAAUCACUAAAUGAAAUCUCGUGGCCUGUCUAGUCUUCUUUUUCUCACCACAGCUGCCCGACGGUGAAGGCUGCAAUUGCUACUGCUUAGUUGGCCCAACUUGGGACACACAAACUAAUCAGUGGCUCCAGAUUCACUUUCUCCAUUCAAUAAAGCAAUGUACGAGUAAAGCAAUGUAGACUUCUUUCUGUACAAUACUUCAAAUUAAAUAUUAAAGAGAAUUUAAUGUGAUAAAAAAAGAGAAAAGAAAGAGAAAAAAAAGAAGAAAAAAAAUCAGAAAAAAAAAACCCAAUUACUCGACAUAACUUGCAUUGAAAAUUUAAAAUAAUUUAUGAAACACACAGCAGGGAUGGCUACAAUGACUUGAAAAUACAAAAUCCAUUUCCGUAGCUUUCAGUUGUCGACAAAGACUGCUGCUUCCUCUCACGGCACACUUCAACGACAGGACUUGAUUUCUUGGUUAAGUUUGUUUGCUGCACCUCCUUGUCCAGAGAGUAGAUCCGAAGUGCGAAGACGAUGAUACUUGGACUGCGCGAUGUUGCCGGAGACCGAUUCCUACAGCUGACUUAUUCAAUUUCUACGGCUGCUCCCGCCUGUUUCACAGCUGACGUUGCUGGAUGUUGUCUAUUUUUUGUUGAUAGACAAAAAAAAAAAAAAAAAUCACCGCCUGAUUGAACUUUACACUUAGUCUGAGCCAUUAUAACCCUGCUGCUGUUAAAGUUUUAUAACCUAACAUUUCUACUUAAAGCUUCAUCCAUGUUAUGAAAAGAAUGAAAUACAUUACCUUUAUUCUUCUGAGCUUUUUCGGAAUCACCGUCCUCCUGAAAUCAGAAAACAAAAUAAUUGACACUAAUAAAGGGAUGAGUAAUUAACAUGGGCAAGUCAUGAAUAUAUAUACGACACAUUAAUCAGUGACGAGGUCUAAUGCUUGCCAUUGUGAACAGCAUGCUGAUAUUUUAUUCUACUCACAUGGACUAAGGUGUGCUUAUUCAAUGAAUUAAGACAAUGAAUUUUAUUAUAGGGAUCCCAUAAAUUGUUCUCACGUUUAUGUGAGAAAAGCAUUGUGGAAAUUCCUCAUUUCAUAAAUACUCUCAAAAUUCUAAUAGGAUUCUCCCAAAAAAAUCCUUACUUUCCGAAACCUAAAAAUUGUGGUAAUUUUUGAGUUCAACAGAAAAAGGUACAUCAAGAAGUCAUAUCAGACAUCCGCUGAUUUUCACCCUUUUUUGUAGAGGCAAAAAACCCCCAAAGGUUUCUUAUAAAGAGCAAUGCCACCUAGAGUCAGAGGGUUGAUAAUUUAGGAAAUAGUGAAAGGCACUGUCAGAAUCAAACCACUUUGAGGUACUUUUUUAACAAAGUAAUGAGACAAAUUCGAUGAAAAGCCUCCGAUACAUUUCUGUCUUUAAAGCAAGGCAAGAUUGAGCGAGCAAGCGGCCGUGAGGAACUGCUAUUUCCUAUUACUUUGUCUGCGAUUUGUAGAAGAGAAUAUAAUUUCAUUGAACUUAAUUUAAAGAUGUUUCAGAUGCUAGUACUUGACAUAAACUCAUUUUUUCUUUACUCUUCUGACCAAAUGGCACUCCAUCACAAAGGUGAUGAAAUGAUUUAGCAACAUAAGAACAGCCAGGAUUUAUAUGUUAUCAUGAUGCAAAUUUUGUCUUUUCAUUGCGUUCAAUCACUUUGACCUACAACUUAUUGCCUUGUACUAACAAAAAUGAUGUGAAAUACAUUGUUGCUUAUUUUCUCCCUAUUUAUCAAACUUCUCUUAUUGACGAAGAAACGUUCCUGCUAACCGCCAGACGGUAAGUAUUCUGUGGUUGACCGCCACAUUUCAUAUUGACAUAAAGAUUAUUAAUGGACUCUUAAGGAAAUAUGUAAGUUUAACUAACCUCUCCAAGCAGUAAUUCUCAUCUUCUUCAAUAUUCAACAUGAUAGAAUCAUCAUCAUCAGCUGUGCCCUUGGUAGAGGCAACCUGAAAGAUAAAAGAAUGAAAUAAGUGAUUUCCUCCAUCACUAGACUCGAAUAGUCUCUUCACAUUUAUCUCUGAAGAUUAGAUUGACAGAGAUA
This 3867-nucleotide long non-coding RNA is filed under the name Bemisia tabaci. Its description in RNAcentral is "lncRNA ENSSWEETPG010007". The record is from RNAcentral. Lineage: Eukaryota; Metazoa; Arthropoda; Insecta; Hemiptera; Aleyrodidae.